RNAcentral lists this transfer RNA (72 nucleotides) under Camelus bactrianus (Bactrian camel). It matches the Rfam family "tRNA". From Rfam's summary of the family: Transfer RNA (tRNA) molecules are approximately 80 nucleotides in length. RNAcentral also lists the same sequence under 1 other name. Lineage: Eukaryota; Metazoa; Chordata; Mammalia; Artiodactyla; Camelidae. The record is from Rfam by way of RNAcentral.
GAGGGUAUAGCUCAGUGGUAGAGCGUAUGCUUAGCAUGCACGGGGUCCUCGGUGUGAUUCCCAGUACCUUCG